CCCCAUUCCCCCCUCUCUCCACACAACCCCCUAAUGCUACUAUUAGCCCUAAUACAGAUGUCACCGAAGUUGUCAACCCACCCCGUGGAAAUCUCUUCUAUACCGUUUCGCCCCUGCUUCGUUCAGCUUGCAUUCAUUCAGGCAACUCUCAUUCGGUGUGAACGAUGCAUUAACUGGAUGCAUUACUGUGUUGAAAUGCCGAUGCAAAGCCGAUUUUGAGCAGUGAGAAAAGAAGAGAAGAAAAGAAAAGAGGAGAGAAAAAAAAGUACCACGACAUCUCCUCGUGCCCAGUUACGUGCGACGUAGUCCCAAUGAAAAGAGGCCCAGUACCCAAGCCAUACAAAGAGCAGUCCCAGUGAAUGAAUGGGGAGGACCCAUAGUAGUAAGGAUUAUACAGUCAAAAAGUCAUAGUAUGAAUUUGUCGGUCCAUUGAGACGAAUGCCGACGAUCUCCAAAGGCCUUCCGGUCCAGGGACACACCUGCCCAUUAUUACCGAGUGUCCUACCGGCAUCGAGAAUCGGCUGUUCCUAACCUCCGUGUCUCUUGCGAAGAAACCGUCAUCGUUUCCGGUGGCUAGAAAUUCGGUUACGGUCAACCGGAACCAAACUACGGUGACACGAAUUUUGUCUCUGAGAAUUUCUCAAGCAAAGGAUUCUACCGGGUGAGUUAAAAAAAUGUGUCAUCUUAAAUAUCUUCAAAUACCACACCACGUAUAUGAAUAUAAGAUAACCUCAUCGGAUACUCUCCCUCUCUCUCUCUCUCUCUCUCUCUCGUUCCAGGUCCUUCGUCUGCAAGGGUGGAUUUUGAGGGUGCGGCUCAACCCUACUUGGGCCACUUCGCAGGAGUAAAAUUAGUCCGGGCAAGACGCUUUAAUAUCUCCCGCCUACCCUUGCCAGUUUAAACGGCCUGCAGAAGAUCCUCAAGGCGCGCGCGGCGGCUGAGCCACGAUAAUAAUAAGGAUAACACUUGGGGAUAUUAGUUGCCACUCAGCUCGAGCCCGACUCCAAGUAAGAGGCCCUAAUCGACGCUACUAAACCCACGGGGAUUUUCCUCCUAACAUCAAGAGGGUCAUAAGUUCACUGCUCGCCAAAGAAUCCCUCACCCCGCCUUUUAACAGUUAGAAUAAAAUAAUCAUCCCCCCUUAGAAUUAAGAAAAAAAAAAA
Long non-coding RNA from Cephus cinctus (wheat stem sawfly), 1163 nucleotides. RefSeq lists it as uncharacterized. The record is from RefSeq and is a predicted model, not a curated record. NCBI's taxonomy places the organism in Eukaryota, Metazoa, Arthropoda, Insecta, Hymenoptera, Cephidae. The transcript has 3 exons.